AUUAAAAAAAAUUAAAGUUUUAAUUAAUAUUAAUUAAACAUAAAUUAAUAAAAAAAAAAACAAAAAAAUAAUAUAAAAAAAACUUUUGAUGGCCGCAACGAAAAUUAUAGACGUCCCUAGUGGGCCUAGAAAUGGCCAUGAAAUGGCACCUCUUAAUACCAGAGCACGAGGUGAUGGUACCCAUGGUGUAACUAUUGUCCUAACUGCUCCCCAAAGAAACUCUGUUAGUUCAGUGGAUAUACCAGGUGAACCAGAGAGGGCGGCAUGGUCUGGAAAAAUGCAAUUCUUUCUCAGCAUUAUUGGAUAUUCGGUAGGAUUGGGAAACAUAUGGAGAUUUCCGUAUUUGUGCCAACAGAAUGGUGGUGGUGCUUUUCUAAUUCCCUUCAUGAUAAUGUUGAUAUUAGAGGGUGUGCCGCUGUUUCUGAUUGAAUUAGGAAUUGGACAGAGAAUGAGACUUGGUGCACUUGGUGUUUGGAAUACUAUCCAUCCGUGGUUGGGUGGAAUUGGAAUAUCUUCCUGUAUUGUAACGUUGUUUGUCGCAUUAUAUUACAAUGUUAUAAUAACAUGGGUUUUCUUUUAUUUAUUUAACAGCUUUCGUUAUCCAUUGCCUUGGGCAUCAUGUCCUGGAAAUGCAACAUACGAAGUAGAAGAAUGUGCUCGUUCAUCCGAAACAGCAUACUUCUGGUAUCGUACAACACUUGAUGCAGCCCCGUCCAUGGAUGAACCCGGAGGUCUUAAAUGGUGGAUUGUCUUAUGCCUGAUGUUGUCAUGGACAAUUGUCUUUUUCAUCGUAAUGAAGGGUAUUCAGAGUUCUGGAAAAGUUGUCUAUUUCACAUCAUUAUUUCCAUAUAUUGUUUUGACAAUUUUCUUCAUUCGUGGAAUAACUCUACGUGGUGCCAGUGCCGGACUGAUGCAUAUGUAUACGCCCAAAGUUGAGAAACUUGCUGAUCCAACUGUUUGGUUAGAUGCUGCCACACAAGUUUUUUAUUCAUUUGGGUUGGCAUUUGGAUCGUUGAUUGCAUUUGGAAGUUAUAAUACUCCCAAGAAUAAUUGUGUUCGAGAUGUGAUAUUGGUGUCGGUUUGCAAUGCUAUAACUGCAAUUUAUGCUAGCGUUGUGAUAUUUGCCAUUCUUGGUUUCAAAGCGACUGUUAAUGUUGAUCGAUGUAUUGAAGUGAACAAAGAAAUUCUCUACAAACAUUCAUACUUGCCAUUUAGAAACGUCUCCAUGGAAGAGUACGAAGCAGCUAUGCAUAAAAUCAAUGGCAGUGAUUCAAAGAUUCUAGAAUUAGAAGAAUGCAGCUUAUCAACUAUGUUGGACAAUGCAGCUGAAGGUACUGGAUUAGCAUUUAUUGUCUUCACACAGGCAAUUGUUGAAUUACCAGGUGCUCCAUUCUGGGCGGUUCUAUUCUUUACGAUGUUACUCUCACUUGGUCUAGGCUCACAAAUUGGUAUUCUCGAAGGAAUGCUUUGUACACUGUUUGAUAUUGAUAUAGUUAAAAGGGUCAAGAAACAGCAUGUUACCGGUGUGGUUUGCCUAUUCUGCUUCUUAGUAGGAUUUGUUUUCUGUACAGGAGCUGGCGAAUACUGGCUGAAAAUGUUUGACUCAUUUGCCGGAACAAUUGGAUUGGUCGUUGUGGCGUUAAUGGAAAUGAUAUCUGUUGUUUAUAUUUAUGGACAUGCAAGGUUCACAGAAGACAUUUAUCAAAUGACUGGAUAUCGACCUGGAUUAUACUGGCAAGUGACGUGGCGAUACAUAGGACCAGCUAUUAUGGGUUGCAUUCUAGUGUCAUCGGUGAUUUUCAUGGUCAUUAAGAAUCCCACAUAUGGAGCGUGGAAUAAAGAAUUGGGAAUGGUUGAACAGACAAGCUAUCCAAAUUGGGUAAUGGGUAUAGCGCUAGCCAUGAUCUUGGCUGGUAUUCUGCCUAUGCCAGUUGUAUUUCUUAUGAGAAGCUUCCAAUGCCUUAAGGUUGACUUCGAUAUUCAUCAAGGCUCAAUUCGACGAAAUGAGACCACAGCAUCAACUAAGGAAAUGAUCGAUGAUGAUGACGCUAUGAGCCCGGAUUUACCACCACAAGAUUCACUAGCAGCAACACGCUUUACAAUUGGAGAUUUCGAUAAUUAAUAUAAACUCAAAAAACCUGGACAAAAUAUUGAACUAAGUAAUCAAAGAAAAUCAACGAAAAACAAAAAAAUUAAUAAAAACUCAAAAUGAGUUUAAACAAAGUCAAUAUAUAAAAAUAACAAUUUAAUUUUGCGUUCUUUUUUUUUAAGUAAGAAAAUUAAAACAAAAACAAAAAUAAACUAAAGUGCAAGUUGAAGAAUAUCAACGAUCAGAUAAUUCACCUAAGCACAAACAUCAUAAAUAUUUAUGAACGAAAAACAAAAAAUUAUCCAAAAAUUAAAAUUGCAAUCAACAUCUUAUUCAUUGUAAUUAGAGAAAGAAAAAAAAAUACAUAUAAAUCAAAAAAAUUAAAAUCAUGAAUGAGAUUGCAAACACCAAAGCGAGCCUUCCUCAAAGAAAAAACAUUAUAAAAAAAUAAAAUUAAAAUAAAAAACAAGAAAAUAGAACUCAUCCAUAUUUUAGAUAAAAUUAAAUCGAAAACAAAAUGCUUCAGUAAAUAUAAGAAAUUAUAUAAAAAAUUAUGUAUAACAAAGGCUCUUCAAUUAAAAAAAAAAAUUAAAAACCAAAAAAGUUACUUAUACAGGUUGACAUAUAAAAGUAAAAACAUAAAAAUAACAACAACAACUUAAACCAAAUAUGUUGAAACUACAUAAUAAUUGCUUAAAAAAGAACGUUUAUGUCAGUGUCUUACGCAUUUAACGAUCAUUAUAUGUAUAUCUAAAUGGAAAAAAUACUCUCCGAUUUUGUAAUGGGAUCUAACUAAUCAUACAACAACAUAAUAUUAACACACAUUUAAUAGACGAUGAAGAUUACAGCGGACCAGCAAUGGGUGGCCGCGUUAGUACCCGCAGUGAUGAUACAGACGAUGACGAAGAUCAGCCAGUUACUAUGCGAAAUAUAUCGUUAUUGAAGUCACCCGCAACAGGGAAUAAUUU
RNA transcript from Episyrphus balteatus (marmalade hoverfly), 3057 nucleotides. It is a transcript of the gene named sodium-dependent neutral amino acid transporter B(0)AT3, with no coding region annotated. Lineage: Eukaryota; Metazoa; Arthropoda; Insecta; Diptera; Syrphidae. The transcript is spliced from 10 exons. The record is from RefSeq and is a predicted model, not a curated record.